GAUGAACGCUGGCGGCGUGCCUAAUACAUGGAAGUCGAGCGAACGGACGAGAAGCUUGCUUCUCUGAUGUUAGCGGCGGACGGGUGAGUAACACGUGGAUAACCUACCUAUAAGACUGGGAUAACUUCGGGAAACCGGAGCUAAUACCGGAUAAUAUUUUGAACCGCAUGGUUCAAAAGUGAAAGACGGUCUUGCUGUCACUUAUAGAUGGAUCCGCGCUGCAUUAGCUAGUUGGUAAGGUAACGGCUUACCAAGGCAACGAUGCAUAGCCGACCUGAGAGGGUGAUCGGCCACACUGGAACUGAGACACGGUCCAGACUCCUACGGGAGGCAGCAGUAGGGAAUCUUCCGCAAUGGGCGAAAGCCUGACGGAGCAACGCCGCGUGAGUGAUGAAGGUCUUCGGAUCGUAAAACUCUGUUAUUAGGGAAGAACAUAUGUGUAAGUAACUGUGCACAUCUUGACGGUACCUAAUCAGAAAGCCACGGCUAACUACGUG
This 497-nucleotide ribosomal RNA is filed under the name uncultured bacterium. Its description in RNAcentral is "partial 16S ribosomal RNA". It matches the Rfam family "Bacterial small subunit ribosomal RNA", at positions 28 to 507 of the family's 1533-position model. The record is from RNAcentral.